AAACGGAAUAUGUCACCGACGGAGACGCAGAUUCCCUAGCAGGAUGCAUGCUGGCCGGCACACGCCUCGGAGCGCGAAAGGGGCCUGUGAUCCUGCGGUGCUUACGUGCUUCACGCGUGUGUGCGGAAGCACGGAGGAGCCCGUGGGGAGCAUGGCGCACUGCCACUCUGCACAUGUGGGCUGGCCGUGUGCGGGGACACGUGUGUCCCUGUGUGCACACACCCAGAGCCCAUCCCGGCAGCCCGGAGACGGCUCCUUUCCCUUGUACAGCUGGAGACUCCGGAAGGAGGAGGCGGGUCGGGCUGGCCUCCUGCUUGGUGAGGGCUUCCGUGACUUCUGCUGUCGCCCCGUGGCCUCCGUCUCCAGAGCAGGUGGAGCAAGGAGGCUGUCUGCUUGCCCCCUGGACCCAGCAGACAUAUUCCCAGAGACAGCUGGAAAUAUCAUUGUGAUGUGGAAUGCUGGAGAUGGGACAGGAGCCACACAGACCCAGCUUUACCCUCUGGAACUCACAGCGUCCUGGCAGCCGGCAGAGAGAGAGAGAGAGGGCCAGCAAACAACUCCACGAGGGAGUCCCGCGAUAACAUGCGAGAAAGACAGAACACCAGAGGAGAGAAAAAGGCCCUUUGGCAUCCCUGUCCAGUGCAUGGGAUUGUGGGGGCUUGGAGGCAUCCUGUGGCUGGGCUGCAGGAGUUCCCAGCCAGACCUGGUCCCCUGGGGAACGGGGUCCGGGAGGCCUGGUUUGCUGUGAGCCCACCUCCACAACCCACCUGGCCAAUGAGCGGAAGCCUGAGCUGGGGUUCAGGGACCCAUCCGUGGAGUCGGCCCUGGGGGAGGGCUUCCCACGUGGCACCCCACUGGGGCCCUCUCCCAAGCCCUCACCCCUCCCUCCCAGGCUCUGGAAACCUCUUGCUGUCCCCCCAAGUUAGUGUCCAGGACUGCUGUCACAAAU
This 949-nucleotide long non-coding RNA is filed under the name Rhinopithecus bieti (black snub-nosed monkey). RNAcentral describes it as "lncRNA (ENSRBIG00000045253.1)". Lineage: Eukaryota; Metazoa; Chordata; Mammalia; Primates; Cercopithecidae. The record is from RNAcentral.